Molecule: unclassified non-coding RNA, 1420 nt
Filed under: uncultured fungus
Lineage: Eukaryota; Fungi
Description: sequence contains 18S rRNA gene, ITS1, 5.8S rRNA gene, ITS2, 28S rRNA gene
Rfam family: Eukaryotic large subunit ribosomal RNA (bases 465-1420)
Source: RNAcentral
AGCUGGAUCAUUUUUCCGAAAAUGUUACCAAACAACAAAACCCGGAGCAAAAAAAACUACACAAUACUUGUGUGUCUCUUUUGUCUCUCCAACAGUUUAUCAGUCUCUCUUUCGCUUCUCGGAGCGAUUGGGGGAUUACUUUGCCGCUUCACUCCGGUGAAGUAUGGCCUCCACAACGUGUCGCGAUGGAUGACUUGGCUUCCCAUUUCGUUGAAGAACGCAGUAAAGUGCGAUAAGUAGUAUCAAUUGCAGAAUCACUCAAUUACUGAAUCUUUGAACGCAAAAGGCGCCCGGGAGAAGCUCUUCGUGAGUCAUCCCCGUGCAUGCCGUAUUCUCAGUGUCGAUCAAAAACAAAAAAAGAACCAUUACAUUAUCACGAAGUCCGGGAGGUUUUCUAUAACCACUUGAGAUUCGUGUGGUUCAAAGGAAAAAAAACAAUGAAAAACAAACACAAUUUUUUUCACAGACCUGAGUGCGGCAGGACUACCCGCCGAACUUAAGCAUAUUACUCAGCGGAGGAAAAGAAAACAACCGUGAUUCCCUCAGUCAGCGGCGAGCGAAGAGGGACCGAACUCGCUGCCGAAUCGGGCCUUAAAGGUCUUGAGUUGUGGCAGAAUAUCGUGCAGUGAAUGGUUUUCGGGAUCGGCGAAAUUCAACGUGCAAAGCAAACCCAUUGUUGAAUACAACCCUUCAUGUGAGUAUUGAGCCAAAGGAGGUGUUAGCCCAUUCAGCUGACCACCCGAUUCCUCAUUGCAUGGUUCAAAGAGAGUAGCACUGCUUGGGAAUGCAGUGUUAAGCGGCAGGUAUGUGUCUGCCAAAGUUAAAUACAGAUUGGGAAGACCGAUAUCGAACAAGUAGCGUGAGCGAAAGUUUGAAAAGCACUUUGGAAAGAGAGUGACAUAGAACCUGAAGUCGUGACAAUGAUAAGGAAAGUACCUCCAUUUUAUGUCAAAACCAGCUCUGUUGCAUUAUCCCCAGUCCCAUGGUGGUAAAAAGUGUAAAAAGGAGCCUGGUGAAAUGAGCGGAGAUAAAGUCAUCCACACCGGUUACGGCGAGUGGGUGGCUUCUCCGUGAACUCGAUGUUGACGAACGAAAAUGGGGUGCCUUCACCCGUCUUGAAACACGGACCAAGGAGUCAAACAGACACGCAAGAGGGAAGAUAUUGUUGCCAGUACUUCUCUCGUACUGAAAGGGUUUUUUUAUUGGUGUGCACACAAAAAUGCCCAACACCAACCGGUCCCUUGCGGAUUGAGUUUGAGUGUGCCUGUUUGGACCCGAAAGGUGGUGAACUAUGCCUGAACAAGGUGAAGCCCGGGGAAACCCGGGUGGAAGCCUGUAGCGGUGCUGACGUGCAAAUCGCUCGCAUGAUUUGGGUAUCGGAGCGAAAGACUCAUCGAACCACCUAGUAGCUGGUUCACAU